UCUCCUCUCUCUCUCUCUCUCCUUCCUUCUCUCAUUUGCUCGCCGUUACCUCUUCUGUUCGAGAAAGGCGUCACCACCUCCUCAUCUUCAAACGGGCAUCAUCAAUGCGACGAGGAAGGCUCACGCUCUUGUGGAUUGUGGAGAUCGGGGCGGCGAUGAUGAGCAUCAGUUCACCAACCUUUACGAGUGAAAUCUACCAAUUAUAUGAAACAAUCCAUUUGAGUUUUGCAUCCAAUUGCUGAUUCUAUCAAAACCAAAAGAUCUGGGGAGUGUAUUUCGACAACUUCUUCCAAAGACUGGUUGAAGUAGAUGACGGAAACUAUGGAUCAACCACUAUUCAUGAGUUGAUAGUACUUCAAGCAUGAAUGAUAGUGGGAAUCUAGUAAAUACAAGAGCAAGUCAAAAAAGGAAUGGAUUCUCUUAACCCGUAACCUCUGUUUUUCUUUCUCUUUCUUUUAUUUAUCACAUCUCCGCUCAAAAUCUUAUGUUGGAACUGCAGGGUGGCCUCAAAUCCUCACACAGUCAACCGCAUCAAAGACUUUGCGACUAGAUUAAACCCUCACCUCAUCUGCUUGGUAGAAACCAAAGCUGACGCUUCUACGACUCAACUUUUGCAAAAUUUUCCGAAAGAAAUGGGAAUGGGCUUCCAACCCAGGCGUUAAGUCUCUCAGAAAACUCCAAGAAUCAAGUGAGACAGGGACAAAUAUUGAAGAGCCUUGUAUCCGAAUGGGGAAGGAGAUGGUGGGGUUCAAUAAUCGAGGAAGGGAGACAAAUUGGAAUAAUCCCAGAAGAAUUAAUGAAAGUUCGUGGACUCCUAAAUCUGUUAUCUUCAAACCCCGCUAGGGCAAUCGAAUGGUCUCAUGUGCUUGAUUGGAAGUAAUAUCCAGUUCCAUGGAGUGUUCCUUUACAGCUGGAGUUAAUUAUUCAGUGAUGCUAUAUCUAUGACAUGAUGCUCUCUAACAUAUGUUCAUGCUACGUACAUUAUGCAACAAAAGGAAAAAUGAUAUUUUAGUAAACCAAAACAAGUAUUGUAAUUCUUGCUCAAAUGUAUGUCUUUAGGCUUGUUUAUUUAAUGAUUCAUCAAACACUGCUCAAAAGUCCCUCCAUUGUUCUUCUGAUAUGAUUCAUCCGGUUGUAAAAGAUGGGUUGCUUAGGCUCGCUUGCUACCUUUUCCAAGCAGGCUAGCAGUUGACUAGCUUUGAUUGUGGCCUAACCUGUAAUUAGAACAGAAUCACCAUCAAGUUGAUUUAGCAUAUUUUUAUGUUGCUACAACAUGUUCAAUGAUUGAUUGACCCCAACUUUUUUGAUUCAUGAACCCAUUUGAAUCAUAAUUCAGUGAAUUCACCUUAUAAGUCUCUAAUACUACCCCAAGCCAUUCUCAGUCACCAGGAGCUUCACCAUUGGCUGCAAUAGUCACCACCUUCCCUCACCGAAUUUGGCCUCAUUUUCCCUUGUUAGCAGCCCUAGAUUCCCCCAUCCAUAGGAACACUUCAAUAUCUUCCUGUUAAGGUUUCAAUGUUGCCAUUAUAUGGUGGAAUUUGCGGCCUUUGAUUUUUUUUUUUUUAAUUAAGAUAACCUUAUUGUUUUUAUGCCUUAAGAAUUUUGCUAAUGAUUUUGAACUCUUGCUUUGUUUCUAACUUUAUUAAUCGAUCCUUGAAAAAUGAGAAAUAGUUUAUUUUUGGACUCAUAUAUUUUCAUAAUAACCAUAAUAUGGUCCAUAGAUCCAUUAGAAGUUGGGGGCUAUGCAUGACUAAUAGGUCUUUUAUCGAUUCUUUGUGUGACUUAUACAAAAGGGAAUUUUGAACUUAGGUUUAUGAUUGAAAAUUUUAGAAGUUCUAUCUAUUAAUCUUGUCAUCUAAGUUGAGCAUUAUUUGUACUCUAUGAACUCAAAAA
Molecule: long non-coding RNA, 1893 nt
Organism: Dioscorea cayenensis subsp. rotundata (Guinea yam)
Lineage: Eukaryota; Viridiplantae; Streptophyta; Magnoliopsida; Dioscoreales; Dioscoreaceae
Exons: 6
Source: RefSeq, a predicted model, not a curated record